UGGGGAAUAUUGGACAAUGGGCGCAAGCCUGAUCCAGCAAUGCCGCGUGUGUGAAGAAGGCCUUCGGGUUGUAAAGCACUUUUAUCAGGAGCGAAACGCUGUCGGCUAAUACCCGGCGGAACUGACGGUACCUGAGGAAUAAGCACCGGCUAACUUCGUGCCAGCAGCCGCGGCAAUACGAAGGGUGCAAGCGUUAAUCGGAAUUACUGGGCGUAAAGCGUGCGUAGGCGGUUUCUUAAGUCUGCUGUGAAAUCCCCGGGCUCAACCUGGGAAUGGCAGUGGAUACUGGGAGGCUAGAGUGUGUCAGAGGGUGGUGGAAUUCCCGGUGUAGCGGUGAAAUGCGUAGAGAUCGGGAGGAACAUCAGUGGCGAAGGCGGCCACCUGGGACAACACUGACGCUGAGGCACGAAAGCGUGGGGAGCAAACAGGAUUAGAUACCCUGGUAGUCCACGCCCUAAACGAUGCGAACUGGAUGUUGGUCUCAACUCGGAGAUCAGUGUCGAAGCUAACGCGUUAAGUUCGCCGCCUGGGGAGUACGGUCGCAAGACUGAAACUCAAAUGAAUUGACGGGGUCAUAGCUGUUUCCUG
RNAcentral lists this ribosomal RNA (588 nucleotides) under uncultured bacterium. Its description in RNAcentral is "partial 16S ribosomal RNA". It matches the Rfam family "Bacterial small subunit ribosomal RNA", at positions 355 to 1376 of the family's 1533-position model. The record is from RNAcentral.